Molecule: ribosomal RNA, 762 nt
Filed under: uncultured fungus
Lineage: Eukaryota; Fungi
Description: eukaryotic LSU rRNA
Rfam family: Eukaryotic large subunit ribosomal RNA
Source: RNAcentral
GAACUUAAGCAUAUCAAUAAGCGGAGGAAAAGAAACCAACAGGGAUUGCCCCAGUAACGGCGAGUGAAGCGGCAACAGCUCAAAUUUGAAAUCUGGCCCCUCCGGGUCCGAGUUGUAAUUUGUAGAGGAUGCUUUUGGUGAGGUGCCGCCCGAGUUCCCUGGAACGGGACGCCGCAGAGGGUGAGAGCCCCGUCUGGCUGGCCACCGAGCCUCUGUAAAGCUCCUUCGACGAGUCGAGUAGUUUGGGAAUGCUGCUCAAAAUGGGAGGUAUAUGUCUUCUAAAGCUAAAUAUUGGCCAGAGACCGAUAGCGCACAAGUAGAGUGAUCGAAAGAUGAAAAGCACCUUGAAAAGAGGGUUAAACAGUACGUGAAAUUGUUGAAAGGGAAGCGCUUGUGACCAGACUUGGGCGCGGCGGAUCAUCCGGGGUUCUCCCCGGUGCACUUCGCCGCGUCCAGGCCAGCAUCAGUUCGUCGCGGGGGAAAAAGGCUUCGGGAACGUGGCUCCUCCGGGAGUGUUAUAGCCCGUUGCAUAAUACCCUGCGGUGGACUGAGGACCGCGCAUCUGCAAGGAUGCUGGCGUAAUGGUCACCAGCGACCCGUCUUGAAACACGGACCAAGGAGUCGUCUUCGUAUGCGAGUGUUCGGGUGUCAAACCCCUACGCGUAAUGAAAGUGAACGCAGGUGAGAGCUUCGGCGCAUCAUCGACCGAUCCUGAUGUUCUCGGAUGGAUUUGAGUAAGAGCAUACGGGGCCGGACCCGAAA